Molecule: ribosomal RNA, 1207 nt
Filed under: Streptococcus pneumoniae
Lineage: Bacteria; Bacillati; Bacillota; Bacilli; Lactobacillales; Streptococcaceae
Description: bacterial SSU rRNA
Rfam family: Bacterial small subunit ribosomal RNA (bases 2-819)
Source: RNAcentral
AGAGUUUGAUCCUGGCUCAGGACGAACGCUGGCGGCGUGCCUAAUACAUGCAAGUAGAACGCUGAAGGAGGAGCUUGCUUCUCUGGAUGAGUUGCGAACGGGUGAGUAACGCGUAGGUAACCUGCCUGGUAGCGGGGGAUAACUAUUGGAAACGAUAGCUAAUACCGCAUAAGAGUGGAUGUUGCAUGACAUUUGCUUAAAAGGUGCACUUGCAUCACUACCAGAUGGACCUGCGUUGUAUUAGCUAGUUGGUGGGGUAACGGCUCACCAAGGCGACGAUACAUAGCCGACCUGAGAGGGUGAUCGGCCACACUGGGACUGAGACACGGCCCAGACUCCUACGGGAGGCAGCAGUAGGGAAUCUUCGGCAAUGGACGGAAGUCUGACCGAGCAACGCCGCGUGAGUGAAGAAGGUUUUCGGAUCGUAAAGCUCUGUUGUAAGAGAAGAACGAGUGUGAGAGUGGAAAGUUCACACUGUGACGGUAUCUUACCAGAAAGGGACGGCUAACUACGUGCCAGCAGCCGCGGUAAUACGUAGGUCCCGAGCGUUGUCCGGAUUUAUUGGGCGUAAAGCGAGCGCAGGCGGUUAGAUAAGUCUGAAGUUAAAGGCUGUGGCUUAACCAUAGUAGGCUUUGGAAACUGUUUAACUUGAGUGCAAGAGGGGAGAGUGGAAUUCCAUGUGUAGCGGUGAAAUGCGUAGAUAUAUGGAGGAACACCGGUGGCGAAAGCGGCUCUCUGGCUUGUAACUGACGCUGAGGCUCGAAAGCGUGGGGAGCAAACAGGAUUAGAUACCCUGGUAGUCCNACGAGAUAAAACGUCUAUGCGUUAUCAAACUCAUUACCAAUUGAAACAAAAAACUGUGGUUAGAGCCUUUCGGAAAUCGUCAAGCGAUUGGAGGAAAUGAACUAAUCCACAGCGGCUUAUUCCAAGUAUACCACUUGGGCUUUGGCAGUAGCUAACUGCGCUAAAUAUAAUAUAAGGAGAAAUAGAUGGAUUUAUGGUUUUCUGAAGUUCAUACUCCAGAUGUCAAAUUGUCUCUGAGAACAGCCAAGCAACUUUACGCUGGAAAAAGUGAAUGGCAGGAUAUCGAAGUCUUGGAUACGCCAGCUUUUGGGAAAAUACUGAUUUUAAAUGGCCAUGUCUUGUUCUCAGAUGCGGAUGAUUUCGUCUACAAUGAAAUGACCGUUCACGUUCCCAUGGCUGUCCA